RNAcentral lists this ribosomal RNA (479 nucleotides) under uncultured bacterium. Its description in RNAcentral is "partial 16S ribosomal RNA". It matches the Rfam family "Bacterial small subunit ribosomal RNA", at positions 28 to 507 of the family's 1533-position model. The record is from RNAcentral.
GACGAACGCUGGCGGCGUGCUUAACACAUGCAAGUCGAACGAAGCUUGAUUACGGAUUCUUCGGAUGAAGUAUGAUAUGACUGAGUGGCGGACGGGUGAUUAACGCGUGAGUAACCUGCCCUUCAUAGGGGGAUAGCGUUUGGAAACGAACGGUAAUACCGCAUAAUGUAUUUUGACCGCAUGAUCGAAAUAUCAAAGAUUUAUCGCUGAAGGAUGGACUCGCGUCUGAUUAGGUAGUUGGUGGGGUAACGGCCUACCAAGCCGACGAUCAGUAACCGGACUGAGAGGUUGAUCGGCAACAUUGGGACUGAGACACGGCCCAGACUCCUACGGGAAGCAGCAGUGGGGAAUAUUGCACAAUGGGCGCAAGCCAGAUGCAGCAACGCAGCGUGAAGGAAGACGGUUUUCGGAGUGUAAACUUCUGUUCUUAGUGAAGAAUAAUGACGGUAGCUAAGGAGCAAGCCACGGCUAACUACGUG